UAUAUGUAUUGCAUGUUGACACUAGAGCUGAGGAAUCACUUCAGCUUUGGUAAUUUUGCUUCUGUACACAACCACAAUUUAUUUGAAACGAAGUAAUCAAGACGUGGUUGAAGUGUAGACUUUCCACUUUAUUUCGUUGGGUUUAACAAAAAUAUUGCAUUAACUGGAAUUACAGCCAUUUUUACAAGGGCUCAAAGUAAUUGGACAAUUGACUGAUAAGCAGUUUCAUAGCUUCACAACAGGUGCGGCUUGUUUCCUUAUUUCAUGACAAAUUAAGGAGAUAAAAGUUCUGAUGCUAUACUUUCUGCUCAGAUUCAGUCAAUUGCUGCUGAUAGGAGAGUGUUUCACAGUACAGAUGGUUAGUGACCCAAAAUGUAGUGCGAAAGCAAGAGCUUCUUAAGGCAAAUAAAUUAAAUGUUCUUAAAUGUCAGAUGACCUCAACUCCAUUGAGCAUGCUUUUCACUUACUGAGAGCAAAACUAAAGGCAGAAAGGUCUACAAACAUACAGCAACUGAAGGCCGGUGUAGUAAACACCUGGCAAAAUAUCUCAAGGUUUGGUGAUCUCCAUGGGUUCCAGAUGUCAGGCAGUCGUUGUAUGUAACGGAUUUGCAUUAAAGUAUGAAAAUCAUAUUAUUUAUGACUGUUAGUUUGUCCAAUUACUUUUGAGCCUGUGAAAAUGGAGGGACUCUAAUGACUGUAAUUCUUGUUAAAUUCCAGUUAAUGCAAUAUCUUUGUUAAAUCCUUUUGAAGUAAAGCUGAAAGUCAACACUUCAAUCACAUCGUGAUUGCUUCAUUUCAAAUCCACUGUAGUGUUGUACAGAGGCAAAAUCACAAAAAUUGUGUAACUGCCCAAAUACUUAUGGCCCUGCCUGCAUAACUUUAGCUGAGGAUAAUCUAAGGUUUUACAAUUGACAAUUGCAGUGAUGCCACAUACAGAUACUCUGUGCUGAGGCGGAUGGAGGAGCAGAGAGAGGAAGAAUCUGAUGAGGAUCUUUUGGAAUGAAACCAGGCGUGAUGUGGAAUUAUUAUUAGUAUAAAAAAAACAAUAAUAAUUCUCAGGAUUUUCUUCAGAAACAGUUUGUCCUUUUCAGCCCCAUCUUCCUUCUGUCCUUAGUUUUAAUGCCAAAACUAUUAUGGGUUUUUAAAGGUCACAUGGUGCUGGUUAAUGUUGUAAAUGUGAAUGGCAAGAUUAUUUAUUAAGAACUGCCUUCAGGAUCCAGAGUGAAGCGAUCAAAAAGUUUGGAACUGUGAAACACAGCCAAUGAGUCUGAGAUUUUAUUUAUUUUGUUGUUGUUAUUGUUUGUUACAGGAAAAUACAACCCACUAUUUUCAAUGUUACUCUAAUUUUUGAGUUUUAAUGGGUUGAGAAUAUGUUUGAUCUAAACCUUAACAACUCAAAAGCAACCGAACAUAACCUAACUUGAACCUAAUGUGUCCUGUUGGUGGAAAUUUCAGGAAUUAAAAGCUACAUGGCUCUGAUAAAUGGUCCAAAUAAGAUUGUACAUGUUUAAAUAAUAAGUCUAAUAUUUGACUAGUUGGAUCUUGUUUAAAUAAAUCUGAACUAAGGGGGUCCAUGGAAUUUAUUAAAGUUAAAGGGGUUCUUGGCUGCAAAAAGUUUGAGAACCUCAGCACUACAGUAUAACACAAUAAUUAAAUGGGCUUUGUCACUAUCCUUAAUCUGUAUUCCCACUAAUUAUAAGGAAUUUUAUGCUGAAAGUUUUUCCUCAUUGCUUAUUGUGUGUAGUGUAGGUAAAACAUUGCAUUUUUUUCACAUUAAGAUUUAUGGGCAAUUGUCUAAUCAGGUGACUCCCCUUGGGCUUUUGCGCAUAUUUGCUUUAGUUAAGGAUUUUGUAUUUCUUUCAGUUUUUCUAAAUGUGAGUAGGGGUUACAUAUGUGUUUGGUCUACCAGUAUGGUUAGCACAUUUUCCUCGCACCUUUGGGGUGCCAGGAAAUCCCCGCCUCUGCCCUGUGCAUGCAGAGCUGGCAUGUUCUCCCCAUGCUUCAGGGGUUUCCUCUGGGUACUCUGGUUUCUUCCCCCAGUCCAAAGACAUGCACUAUAUGUUGAUUGGCAUUUCCAAAUUGUCCUUAGUGUGUGAAUGGGUGUGUGCGAUUGUGCCCUGUGAUGAGUUGGCACCCUGUCCAGGGUGUCCCCCUGCCUUGUGCCCCGAGUUCCCUGGGAUAGACUCCAGGAUCAGCCUUGUGUAGCAUAAGUGGUACAGAAAUUGGAUGGAUGUUAAAUCAGUCUUGGGUUAACGUAUAUUGUUAGAUAAGUUAAACAAGGUUCUUUCUGUGUCAUUUUGUGUUGUAAUUGUUUUGUUUUGCUGCCUGAGAAUGUGAGUAGAUUUCCUUGUUAGAUUUUGUUGACUGUGUGAUUUAUGUAGUGCUUCAUUGUAUGAAUUGAUAUGUACCUCUGAAACACCUGAGAGAAAUUUUAUGACCUGAAAUUGUUUGAGUAAUUGCUGAAAAUUCACCACUCAGGAUUAAAGUUAUUUCAAACCCCAUUGUUUAUUUGACUCACAUUUAGUCAUGUCUGUCUGUCUGUCUGUCUGUCUGUGUCUGUGUGUGUGUCUCUCUCUCUCUCUCUGCGUGCAUGUGCAGUGCAGUGGAAGAGCAAGCGUGACGUGUAGAGCGCGUGAGAGCAGUUUGGCGUCUUCUCAAAGUUUUCUGCGACAUUGUCUUUUUGCUUUUGUUUCAUUUAAUUAUUGAAUGUUUAAGUUAUGUAAGUAGCAGUAGCCGGUAAAAGUUGAGAGCGGGUGGGAGUGAGCGGGCGUCCCGCUCUCUGAGGCCGGAGGGGAGACGCUGUCUCUCCGCCAUGGCGUCAGGUGUGUGCCGGAGGAUGGAGAACAGGUGGAGGAGGUUCUGCUAGCGGUGGGAGAGCAGGUCCGGUGGGAGAGCAGGUCGGGUGCGAGAAC
Ictalurus punctatus (channel catfish) is the source of this 2912-nucleotide long non-coding RNA. NCBI's taxonomy places the organism in Eukaryota, Metazoa, Chordata, Actinopteri, Siluriformes, Ictaluridae. The record is from Ensembl.